ACACAUUCCUUAGAUAUAGAUUCAGAUGAAAGAUAUAAUCUGACAAUUUCUUCUCCAAUCCACAAAUUAAAUCAAUGCCAGUUCUUCACUGUAACGAACUAACAUCUUCAAAAGUUGACCAAGUCUUCUCCAAUCCAGAAACAAAUUAAUGUAAAUGCCAGUUAUUUGUAAAUCUACACAUUCAAUGACAAGAAAUAAUAUCAACAAACUAAGAAAGACGAAUUAUUAUCUUGUAAUCAAAGCUUGACCAAAUCGGCGUUUGAAUCAAACAAAAGAAAACCAGCAAACCAGCAAACCAAAAUCAGAUAUAUAGCAAAUUUACUGAUGAAUUCGAUAACUCUUGCUUGGAAAAGGAAAUCACCUGAAGCUCCUUAGAUUAUUUCGGAAGCCGCCACUCAACCAAAACGUCGGCGAGAGUGACGGUGACUGUAAUCGCUUCGCCGUUGUCGCGUGAUUAAAUCUUCCUUAAGCGACUUAUGUCUUAAACCAAAUCUCGCAAAUCUGGUUCAUUAAAUUGUAUAUAACCGGUUUCGUAUAAACCGAAAUGUAAUUUUUGGUCUAAAUUGGUUUACAUAAUGCUGCUGGGUGAUUAUUUUUUGUUUCGCAUUUUUUUUUUUCCUACUGGUUCAGCCUUUUGAGUCG
RNAcentral lists this long non-coding RNA (642 nucleotides) under Eutrema salsugineum. Its description in RNAcentral is "long non-coding RNA (ESAL_LNC001946)". The record is from RNAcentral. Lineage: Eukaryota; Viridiplantae; Streptophyta; Magnoliopsida; Brassicales; Brassicaceae.